GACGAACGCUGGCGGCGUGCUUAACACAUGCAAGUCGAGCGGUAAGGCCCUUUCGGGGGUACACGAGCGGCGAACGGGUGAGUAACACGUGGGUGACCUGCCCUCAGCUCUGGGAUAAGCCUGGAAACCGGGUCUAAUACUGGAUAUGACUCCAUGACGCAUGUUGUGGGGUGGAAAGCCUUGUGCGGCUGAGGAUGGGCCCGCGGCCUAUCAGCUUGUUGGUGGGGUGANGGCCUACCAAGGCGACGACGGGUAGCCGGCCUGAGAGGGCGACCGGCCACACUGGGACUGAGACACGGCCCAGACUCCUACGGGAGGCAGCAGUGGGGAAUCUUGCGCAAUGGGCGAAAGCCUGACGCAGCGACGCCGCGUGA
This 374-nucleotide ribosomal RNA is filed under the name uncultured bacterium. Its description in RNAcentral is "bacterial SSU rRNA". It matches the Rfam family "Bacterial small subunit ribosomal RNA", at positions 28 to 404 of the family's 1533-position model. The record is from RNAcentral.